Molecule: ribosomal RNA, 544 nt
Filed under: uncultured archaeon
Lineage: Archaea
Description: bacterial SSU rRNA
Rfam family: Archaeal small subunit ribosomal RNA
Source: RNAcentral
CGGGGUGCACCAGGCGCGAAAACUUUACAAUGCGGGAAACCGUGAUAAGGGGACACCGAGUGCCAGCAUCAUAUGCUGGCUGUCCAGGUGUGUAAAAUACACCUGUCAGCAAGGGCCGGGCAAGACCGGUGCCAGCCGCCGCGGUAACACCGGCGGCCCGAGUGGUGAUCGUGAUUAUUGGGUCUAAAGGGUCCGUAGCCGGUUUGGUCAGUCCUCCGGGAAAUCUGACGGCUCAACCGUUAGGCUUUCGGGGGAUACUGCCAGGCUUGGAACCGGGAGAGGUAAGAGGUACUACAGGGGUAGGAGUGAAAUCUUGUAAUCCCUGUGAGACCACCUGUGGCGAAGGCGUCUUACCAGAACGGGUUCGACGGUGAGGGACGAAAGCUGGGGGCACGAACCGGAUUAGAUACCCGGGUAGUCCCAGCCGUAAACGAUGCUCGCUAGGUGUCAGGCAUGGCGCGACCGUGUCUGGUGCCGCAGGGAAGCCGUGAAGCGAGCCACCUGGGAAGUACGGCCGCAAGGCUGAAACUUAAAGGAAUUGGCG